UUCAAAAUUUGAAUGGUCUUGGUGAUAUUUGAAACUCGCCAGGGGUAGAUUCUUCACGAGGAGAAUAGCGAGACUGUAUAUUACCAAAUUGGUAAAUUUCAGAGAACUUAGGGUUUCCGGCCAACCUUUGAUUUAAUAUUCGAGACAUUCAACUGAUAUUUGAGGGAAAAUGAUUCUGGAUCUGGGUUGAGGGAGUUGAGGAAAUUCAGUGGUGUAAAUUUGGUCGGAUUUGGACAACGUUGUGUCUUGGCCAGAAUAUUUCGAUUCAAGAUUCGAGGGCCUAGGGAGGGAUUCGAGAAAAACUAAGUUGGGGGUUGGAAAGAGGAGAGAGAGAGGGUUCUAGGGUAUUAUUUU
Molecule: long non-coding RNA, 354 nt
Filed under: Nicotiana benthamiana
Lineage: Eukaryota; Viridiplantae; Streptophyta; Magnoliopsida; Solanales; Solanaceae
Description: long non-coding RNA (NBEN_LNC021985)
Source: RNAcentral